This 253-nucleotide ribosomal RNA is filed under the name uncultured bacterium. Its description in RNAcentral is "partial 16S ribosomal RNA". It matches the Rfam family "Bacterial small subunit ribosomal RNA", at positions 524 to 776 of the family's 1533-position model. The record is from RNAcentral.
UACGGAGGGUGCGAGCGUUAUCCGGAAUCACUGGGUUUAAAGGGUGCGUAGGCGGCCUGGUAAGUCAGGGGUGAAAGCUUCCCGCUCAACGGGAGAACGGCCUUUGAUACUGCCAAGCUUGAAUGGGCACGAGGCAGGCGGAAUGUGGCAUGUAGCGGUGAAAUGCUUAGAUAUGCCAUAGAACACCGAUUGCGAAGGCAGCCUGCCAGCGCCAAAUUGACGCUGAGGCACGAAAGCGUGGGGAGCGAACAGG